This 497-nucleotide ribosomal RNA is filed under the name uncultured bacterium. Its description in RNAcentral is "partial 16S ribosomal RNA". It matches the Rfam family "Bacterial small subunit ribosomal RNA", at positions 28 to 507 of the family's 1533-position model. The record is from RNAcentral.
GAUGAACGCUGGCGGCGUGCCUAAUACAUGCAAGUAGAACGCUGAAGGAAGGAGCUUGCUCUUUCCGGAUGAGUUGCGAGCGGGUGAGUAACGCGUAGGUAACCUGCCUGGUAGCGGGGGAUAACUAUUGGAAACGAUAGCUAAUACCGCAUAACAGUAGAUGUUGCAUGAUAUCUACUUAAAAGGUGCAAUUGCACCACUACCAGAUGGACCUGCGUUGUAUUAGCUAGUUGGUGAGGUAACGGCUCACCAAGGCGACGAUACAUAGCCGACCUGGGAGGGUGAUCGGCCACACUGGGACUGAGACACGGCCCAGACUCCUACGGGAGGCAGCAGUAGGGAAUCUUCGGCAAUGGACGGAAGUCUGACCGAGCAACGCCGCGUGAGUGAAGAAGGUUUUCGGAUCGUAAAGCUCUGUUGUAAGAGAAGAACGAGUGUGAGAGUGGAAAGUUCACACUGUGACGGUAUCUUACCAGAAAGGGACGGCUAACUACGUG